CUUGCUGGUCAAGAUAAUUCCGUUUUUACUUUUACCGUUCAAAGUAUUUACGUUGUAAGUUGUCUGGUUGAGGUUGUGUCCGUUAGUUUGUUGUGUACUCGUGCGUUUUAUUGGAUUGCAAAAAUGCCAAAAAAAUAUAUAUAUAUAUAUAUCAGCAAAAAUAUACGAAAUGUUGGGAGACCGAUCCAAAACUUCAAGGAAGCAUCGUCCCGCCAACAGCUAGGUCAUUACUGACGGUGACACCACCACGCCAAGCAGGGACUGAACCCAG
This is a long non-coding RNA of Bacillus rossius redtenbacheri, 271 nucleotides long. RefSeq lists it as uncharacterized. The transcript is spliced from 3 exons. The record is from RefSeq and is a predicted model, not a curated record. Lineage: Eukaryota; Metazoa; Arthropoda; Insecta; Phasmatodea; Bacillidae.